RNAcentral lists this unclassified non-coding RNA (360 nucleotides) under Cercozoa sp. RNAcentral's name for it is "partial contains small subunit ribosomal RNA, internal transcribed spacer 1, and 5.8S ribosomal RNA". The stretch from base 1 to 47 matches the Rfam family "Eukaryotic small subunit ribosomal RNA", at positions 1785 to 1831 of the family's 1831-position model. Lineage: Eukaryota; Cercozoa. The record is from RNAcentral.
AAAGUCGUAACAAGGUUUCCGUAGGUGAACCUGCGGAAGGAUCAUUAACACGUAUCCACGUAUCAACCCCAUGUGCUCUUUGUCUGAGUACUCGCAAAAUGAAAGGUAGUGCCGAGAGCUGGAGUGGUGACUCGUUCGACUAGCUCUCGGUGCGUUCGGUGUGUCACAGCACCGAGCUGAGUAACUUUGCGGGUCGGUUUUUCUCGUGCUUCUCACUUCUAGCACGGGAAAUUAACCUUGUUUAUUCACAUUUUUAACCCAUUGUACAACUUUUUUCUAAUCUUGUGUAAUAGCUGGAAACGGCUGUUAACAUAAAUACGAAAUGCUUGACAACUCUUAACAACGGAUAUCUUGGUUCUC